AAUAUAUUGAUAAACAUUCGUAAUAAUAAUAAUAAUAAUAAUCCAUUUUAAAUAUAUCUUGUUCUAAAAUAAGAUUUAAUUGUCUAUAUUAAUGUUAUUUAACUAUAUUAUGUGGAAAUCGACAAUGUGGAAUUUAUAAUGGUCUAAUCUCGUGAUUUGUCUUGUAAAAACAAAUUCUAUGACGCAGUGUUUAAAGAAUCAUGUGGAUAAAGAAAAUUCAUCAAUUCCGAAGCACACGUAACCUUAUUACGGACACGAUUGCCUUAAUUUUUUUCUGUAGAAGAUAAAAUCGAGAUAAAGGUCGAAAGAUCCGUGGAUUUGUUCAAUUGUCAUUAAUAAAUGCAAAAAUUUGUAAUGUAAUGUCAUCUCGUGUUUCAUUAGAAUCCAUUGCAUGCAUAGAAUCCAUAGAAUGCAUUGUAUUUUCUUGUAAAAGUGGUGAAGAAAGUUUUGACUCUGGUGUUCUUAAAUGUCGUGAAAAAAUUCAUCCAAUAUGCCUGUCUGACACUGCACACUGUCAGAAUACACAGGCAGCCUUAAAAUGUUAUGCAGAAGCAUGACUUUACAGCUAUUCUAUUCUAUCAUUUUUAAAUAUACAAGAAGAAGAAUUUAGUUGUGAAUAUUAAUUUAGAUGAAAAUGAUUUAAGUAUAUCAAAAGAACAUUAAUAUCAAUGUAUCAUGUAACAAGAUGAACGAGAUAAAAUAGUAAGUAUUGGUAAGAAGAUUGAUAUGAAAUAUAUGAUAAAAAAAAUGCUUUCCAAUAAAGACUCUCCAAUAUUUUUAAUUAAUUUUAUAGUUAUUAUUGAAUUAGUUAAAUUAAUUAUUUGACUUUAUCAAUGAACUUUAUCAAUUUGAUUAUCAGCAAAUUUAAUUUCAGGACAUUUAAUUUUAACAUUAUUAGGUAUUUUUAUUAGAAAUUUUAUUGCAAUAAUUCCAAUUAAUUUAUUAAUUCAAAAUACAUUAUUAACUUUAGAAAUUUUUAUAUCAAUUAUUCAAUGAUAUGUAUUUUCAAUUUUCUUAAUUUUAUAU
Apis cerana (Asiatic honeybee) is the source of this 1026-nucleotide long non-coding RNA. RefSeq lists it as uncharacterized. NCBI's taxonomy places the organism in Eukaryota, Metazoa, Arthropoda, Insecta, Hymenoptera, Apidae. The record is from RefSeq and is a predicted model, not a curated record.